AUCUUGAUAGACGCUCAAAUGGUCUCUACGAAGAGAAAAAUCGUACGUGGCCAAGGCAGCACCCAAGGCAGCAUCCUUGGGAAAACCCAUACCAUCGACAGCUAUCGACUUUGCACCAUUCGACUUUAAAAUCUUAGCUGCCUCUGCAGCAGCUGAACGAACGGACUUUUCAGAAACGUUUUCUUCAAGCUGGACUAUGGCAAGACGAACAAAACCCUGAGUGUUCCAAAAGAGACGAAUGUCAUUUUUUUUGGGAGAUGUUUCAAAAUACUGGUCAACAACUUGUCGAUAAUCUUCAGAAAAAACUUGUUUAUCGUGACGAACAGCCAAAAUCAAGGAAUCGGCUUUUGUAGUAGCUAAAGGAAUUCUUGGUAAAAGAAUGGAAGAAAGUGAGCUCCAAUUAAAGGUUCUCGUACUUAGAC
Schizosaccharomyces pombe (fission yeast) is the source of this 422-nucleotide non-coding RNA. NCBI's taxonomy places the organism in Eukaryota, Fungi, Ascomycota, Schizosaccharomycetes, Schizosaccharomycetales, Schizosaccharomycetaceae. The record is from the annotation of a GenBank genome assembly.